GGGUUGUGAGGUUAAGCGACUAAGCGUACACGGUGGAUGCCCUGGCAGUCAGAGGCGAUGAAGGACGUGCUAAUCUGCGAUAAGCGUCGGUAAGGUGAUAUGAACCGUUAUAACCGGCGAUUUCCGAAUGGGGAAACCCAGUGUGUUUCGACACACUAUCAUUAACUGAAUCCAUAGGUUAAUGAGGCGAACCGGGGGAACUGAAACAUCUAAGUACCCCGAGGAAAAGAAAUCAACCGAGAUUCCCCCAGUAGCGGCGAGCGAACGGGGAGGAGCCCAGAGCCUGAAUCAGUGUGUGUGUUAGUGGAAGCGUCUGGAAAGGCGCGCGAUACAGGGUGACAGCCCCGUACACAAAAAUGCACAUACUGUGAGCUCGAUGAGUAGGGCGGGACACGUGGUAUCCUGUCUGAAUAUGGGGGGACCAUCCUCCAAGGCUAAAUACUCCUGACUGACCGAUAGUGAACCAGUACCGUGAGGGAAAGGCGAAAAGAACCCCGGCGAGGGGAGUGAAAAAGAACCUGAAACCGUGUACGUACAAGCAGUGGGAGCCUCUUUUAUGGGGUGACUGCGUACCUUUUGUAUAAUGGGUCAGCGACUUAUAUUCUGUAGCAAGGUUAACCGAAUAGGGGAGCCGAAGGGAAACCGAGUCUUAACUGGGCGUUAAGUUGCAGGGUAUAGACCCGAAACCCGGUGAUCUAGCCAUGGGCAGGUUGAAGGUUGGGUAACACUAACUGGAGGACCGAACCGACUAAUGUUGAAAAAUUAGCGGAUGACUUGUGGCUGGGGGUGAAAGGCCAAUCAAACCGGGAGAUAGCUGGUUCUCCCCGAAAGCUAUUUAGGUAGCGCCUCGUGAAUUCAUCUCCGGGGGUAGAGCACUGUUUCGGCAAGGGGGUCAUCCCGACUUACCAACCCGAUGCAAACUGCGAAUACCGGAGAAUGUUAUCACGGGAGACACACGGCGGGUGCUAACGUCCGUCGUGAAGAGGGAAACAACCCAGACCGCCAGCUAAGGUCCCAAAGUCAUGGUUAAGUGGGAAACGAUGUGGGAAGGCCCAGACAGCCAGGAUGUUGGCUUAGAAGCAGCCAUCAUUUAAAGAAAGCGUAAUAGCUCACUGGUCGAGUCGGCCUGCGCGGAAGAUGUAACGGGGCUAAACCAUGCACCAUGCUGGAGGUAUCAGAAGUGCGAAUGCUGACAUAAGUAACGAUAAAGCGGGUGAAAAGCCCGCUCGCCGGAAGACCAAGGGUUCCUGUCCAACGUUAAUCGGGGCAGGGUGAGUCGACCCCUAAGGCGAGGCCGAAAGGCGUAGUCGAUGGGAAACAGGUUAAUAUUCCUGUACUUGGUGUUACUGCGAAGGGGGGACGGAGAAGGCUAUGUUGGCCGGGCGACGGUUGUCCCGGUUUAAGCGUGUAGGCUGGUUUUCCAGGCAAAUCCGGAAAAUCAAGGCUGAGGCGUGAUGACGAGGCACUACGGUGCUGAAGCAACAAAUGCCCUGCUUCCAGGAAAAGCCUCUAAGCAUCAGGUAACAUCAAAUCGUACCCCAAACCGACACAGGUGGUCAGGUAGAGAAUACCAAGGCGCUUGAGAGAACUCGGGUGAAGGAACUAGGCAAAAUGGUGCCGUAACUUCGGGAGAAGGCACGCUGAUAUGUAGGUGAAGCGACUUGCUCGUGGAGCUGAAAUCAGUCGAAGAUACCAGCUGGCUGCAACUGUUUAUUAAAAACACAGCACUGUGCAAACACGAAAGUGGACGUAUACGGUGUGACGCCUGCCCGGUGCCGGAAGGUUAAUUGAUGGGGUUAGCGGUAACGCGAAGCUCUUGAUCGAAGCCCCGGUAAACGGCGGCCGUAACUAUAACGGUCCUAAGGUAGCGAAAUUCCUUGUCGGGUAAGUUCCGACCUGCACGAAUGGCGUAAUGAUGGCCAGGCUGUCUCCACCCGAGACUCAGUGAAAUUGAACUCGCUGUGAAGAUGCAGUGUACCCGCGGCAAGACGGAAAGACCCCGUGAACCUUUACUAUAGCUUGACACUGAACAUUGAGCCUUGAUGUGUAGGAUAGGUGGGAGGCUUUGAAGUGUGGACGCCAGUCUGCAUGGAGCCGACCUUGAAAUACCACCCUUUAAUGUUUGAUGUUCUAACGUUGGCCCCUGAUCGGGGUUGCGGACAGUGUCUGGUGGGUAGUUUGACUGGGGCGGUCUCCUCCUAAAGAGUAACGGAGGAGCACGAAGGUUGGCUAAUCCUGGUCGGACAUCAGGAGGUUAGUGCAAUGGCAUAAGCCAGCUUGACUGCGAGCGUGACGGCGCGAGCAGGUGCGAAAGCAGGUCAUAGUGAUCCGGUGGUUCUGAAUGGAAGGGCCAUCGCUCAACGGAUAAAAGGUACUCCGGGGAUAACAGGCUGAUACCGCCCAAGAGUUCAUAUCGACGGCGGUGUUUGGCACCUCGAUGUCGGCUCAUCACAUCCUGGGGCUGAAGUAGGUCCCAAGGGUAUGGCUGUUCGCCAUUUAAAGUGGUACGCGAGCUGGGUUUAGAACGUCGUGAGACAGUUCGGUCCCUAUCUGCCGUGGGCGCUGGAGAACUGAGGGGGGCUGCUCCUAGUACGAGAGGACCGGAGUGGACGCAUCACUGGUGUUCGGGUUGUCAUGCCAAUGGCACUGCCCGGUAGCUAAAUGCGGAAGAGAUAAGUGCUGAAAGCAUCUAAGCACGAAACUUGCCCCGAGAUGAGUUCUCCCUGAGACUUUAAGUCUCCUGAAGGAACGUUGAAGACGACGACGUUGAUAGGCCGGGUGUGUAAGCGCAGCGAUGCGUUGAGCUAACCGGUACUAAUGAACCGUGAGGCUUAACCUUACAACGCCGAAG
Molecule: ribosomal RNA, 2851 nt
Filed under: Escherichia coli
Lineage: Bacteria; Pseudomonadati; Pseudomonadota; Gammaproteobacteria; Enterobacterales; Enterobacteriaceae
Description: bacterial LSU rRNA
Rfam family: Bacterial large subunit ribosomal RNA
Source: RNAcentral